ACCCUGACCAAAACAGACUGUGCACGCGUCAUCCAUCNUGCCGGCGGCGGCAUCGUUCGUCGCUUGGCCAAGUCCUUGAGAACCUCCUCUCCUCGGAGCGGGGGCUCAGGGUAAAAGAACCCACGGCGCCUUAGGCGUCAAGGAACACUGUGCCUAGCACGGGGACGCGGACGGCUUGCUGGCUGCACCCCGUGCUGCAAUGCUAUUUAAUCCACACGACUCUCGGCAACGGAUAUCUCGGCUCUCGCAUCGAUGAAGAACGUAGCGAAAUGCGAUACCUGGUGUGAAUUGCAGAAUCCCGCGAACCAUCGAGUCUUUGAACGCAAGUUGCGCCCGAGGCCAUUCGGUUGAGGGCACGCCUGCCUGGGCGUCACGCCAAACACGCUCCCACCCCAUCAUCGGGGAGCAGGAUGCGGCUUGUGGCCCCCCGUCACGCAAGGGGCGGUGGGCUGAAGAUAUGGCUGCCGGCGAAUCGUGUCGGACACAGCGCGUGGUGGGUGACCUCGCUUUACUUACCGCAGUGCAUCCGACGCCUAGCCGACAUUAUGGCCACGAAUGACCCUGUGAACGGUGCGCACGACGCUCCGACU
Molecule: ribosomal RNA, 590 nt
Filed under: Briza media
Lineage: Eukaryota; Viridiplantae; Streptophyta; Magnoliopsida; Poales; Poaceae
Description: eukaryotic LSU rRNA
Rfam family: 5.8S ribosomal RNA (bases 218-373)
Source: RNAcentral